CAGAAAUGUCAAAACGAAGGAGAUUUUGAGCAGAAUCCCCAGAGUUUCUGUUUUUACUACUAAAGCUUGGUUUAUUAUUGAGAUUUUGGAGACUGGAAACACAUCUGGAGUCUGAAGGGCUGCGUUCGUGGAGAAUCGCUGUGCUCUUUUAACCCUACCGUGUGUGUGAUCACGCUCACAGACAGGAACAUGAGUGAGUGACAUCGCGACGCUCAGCGCUGGGACGUCUCCGCUCCACACAUUUCCAGAUGAAUGCUGGGAGGAACACGCCAUCAUGCAGAUUCUGGCUAUGAUGAUGAUGAUGAUGAUGAUUUUGAUGACAUCAUCACAUUCAGCUCUUGCAGAUCAAAGUUUAACGUGUCAUAAUGAUUACCACAACACCUUCACAUGUGUUUGGGACACCUCAAAACUGGACGUGAUCCCUCCGGUCCAACCCGAGACCGUCUGCUGGAUUCAUGUAACGGUUACGAAGCUGUAAGGAAAAAUGUGACUUCAUAACGUAUUUGGCUUGUGCAUUUACAUUUACAUUUAGUCAUUUAGCAGACGCUUUUAUCCAAAGCGACUUACAAUUGGGGGAUACAUAAAGCGAUUCUUCUUAAGAGGCAAACAGACACAGGAAGUGGUUGUAAUACCAAGUUCUUAGACAUUGUUCAAAUAAGUACAAGCUAGAAAGAGAAGGAAUAAAUAAAGAGAGAGAGUUUUUGUGGCUUGUGAUUAAAUCAGCCUUCAUAUUGUACAGGA
RNAcentral lists this long non-coding RNA (741 nucleotides) under Sinocyclocheilus anshuiensis. RNAcentral describes it as "lncRNA (ENSSANG00000002921.1)". The record is from RNAcentral. Lineage: Eukaryota; Metazoa; Chordata; Actinopteri; Cypriniformes; Cyprinidae.